Molecule: ribosomal RNA, 496 nt
Filed under: uncultured bacterium
Lineage: Bacteria
Description: bacterial SSU rRNA
Rfam family: Bacterial small subunit ribosomal RNA
Source: RNAcentral
AGAGUUUGAUCCUGGCUCAGAGCGAACGCUGGCGGCAGGCUUAACACAUGCAAGUCGAGCGCUCGUAGCAAUACGGGAGCGGCAGACGGGAGAGUAACACGUGGGAACGUACCCUUCGGUUCGGAAUAACCCAGGGAAACUUGGGCUAAUACCGGAUACGUCCGUAAGGAGAAAGAUUUAUCGCCGAGGGAUCGGCCCGCGUCCGAUUAGCUAGUUGGUGGGGUAAUGGCCCACCAAGGCGACGAUCGGUAGCUGGUCUGAGAGGAUGAUCAGCCUCACUGGGACUGAGACACGGCCCAGACUCCUACGGGAGGCAGCAGUGGGGAAUAUUGGACAAUGGGCGCAAGCCUGAUCCAGCCAUGCCGCGUGGGUGAUGAAGGCCUUAGGGUUGUAAAGCCCUUUCGGCGGGGAAGAUAAUGACGGUACCCGCAGAAGAAGCCCCGGCUAACUUCGUGCCAGCAGCCGCGGUAAUACGAAGGGGGCUAGCGUUGCUCGG